CUGCUAAGACUGGAUAGGAAACAAAAAGGCAUCUUUUUGUUUUUAAAAGACCUUCUUAUGAAGGUAUGCUUAAAGAGGGGCUUGCGCCACAUUAGUUAGUUGGUAGGGUAAAAGCCUACCAAGACGAUGAUGUGUAGCUGGACUGAGAGGUUGAACAGCCACAUUGGGACUGAGACACGGCCCAAACUCCUACGGGAGGCAGCAGUAGGGAAUUUUCGGCAAUGGAGGAAACUCUGACCGAGCAACGCCGCGUGAACGAUGAAGUAUUUCGGUAUGUAAAGUUCUUUUAUUGAAGAAGAAAAAGUAGUGGAAAAACUAUAUUGACGUUAUUCAAUGAAUAAGCCCCGGCUAACUAUGUGCCAGCAGCCGCGGUAAGACAUAGGGGGCGAGCGUUAUCCGGAAUUAUUGGGCGUAAAGGGUGCGUAGGCUGUUAGAUAAGUCUAUAAUUUAAUUUCAGUGCUUAACGCUGUCUUGUUAUAGAAACUGUCUUGACUAGAGUGAGAUAGAGGCAAGCGGAAUUCCAUGUGUAGCGGUAAAAUGUGUAAAUAUAUGGAGGAACACCAGAAGCGUAGGCGGCUUGCUGGGUCUUUACUGACGCUGAGGCACGAAAGCGUGGGUAGCAAACAGGAUUAGAUACCCUGGUAGUCCACGCCGUAAACGAUGAGUACUAAGUGUCGGGGUAAAACUCGGUACUGAAGUUAACACAUUAAGUACUCCGCCUGAGUAGUACGUACGCAAGUAUGAAACUUAAAGGAAUUGACGGGACUCCGCANAAGCGGUGGAUCAUGUUGUUUAAUUCGAAGAUACACGAAAAAUCUUACCAGGUCUUGACAUACUCUGCAAAGCUAUAGAAAUAUAGUGGAGGUUAUCAGGGAUACAGGUGGUGCAUGGUUGUCGUCAGUUCGUGUCGUGAGAUGUUAGGUUAAGUCCUAAAACGAGCGCAACCCUUGUCGUUAAUUGCCAGCACGUAAUGGUGGGGACUUUAGCGAGACUGCCAAUUAAACAUUGGAGGAAGGUGAGGAUUACGUCAAAUCAUCAUGCCCCUUAUGAUCUGGGCUACAAACGUGAUACAAUGGCUGUGACAAAGAGUAGCUGAAACGCGAGUUUUUAGCCAAUCUCAAAAAAGCAGUCUCAGUUCGGAUUGAAGUCUGUAACUCGACUUCAUGAAGUUGGAAUCGCUAGUAAUCGCGAAUCAGCAUGUCGCGGUGAAUACGUUCUCGGGGUUUGUACACACCGCCCGUCAAA
RNAcentral lists this ribosomal RNA (1245 nucleotides) under Candidatus Phytoplasma trifolii. Its description in RNAcentral is "bacterial SSU rRNA". It matches the Rfam family "Bacterial small subunit ribosomal RNA", at positions 160 to 1401 of the family's 1533-position model. The record is from RNAcentral. Lineage: Bacteria; Bacillati; Mycoplasmatota; Mollicutes; Acholeplasmatales; Acholeplasmataceae.